RNAcentral lists this long non-coding RNA (1726 nucleotides) under Paramuricea clavata. The record is from RNAcentral. Lineage: Eukaryota; Metazoa; Cnidaria; Anthozoa; Malacalcyonacea; Plexauridae.
GUGCCCUUUUAUUAAGGAGUAUGCCCUUUUGUUAACCAAUUUCACCCCUUGCCCUCAGCAACUUCCGGCAUCCCUGGGAAGCAUUAAGAAUUUACAGAUAACUGGUCGCGUGAUUGCCAACUCUCAUCCUCGUUUUACACUGCCACUGGACUUUGACUUUUCGGCCAGCUUUCCCUUACUUUCCCUUUCACUUGCGCAUCUCAUUCGGGAACAAGCAAUGGAAUGUGCGGAUAUAAAGCUUGUGUAUGACACUCCGUCUACUGUAAGAGGAUUACAGCCCUUCCCUUGAUAAAAAAAUACAUUUAUCUAGACGUUUCUUUUGAUAACCUUCCCUACUUUACGGUAAGCAUAAUGUACACAAGGAUUACGACGGAGGUCCUCAAUGACUAGCAAUAUUUUACAAGCCUAUAUGGAAAGCAGACCUAUCAUAAUAGAUGGAUCGCCAUCGGCCUUCUUGAAGCAGCGUGCGUACGAUUUGUACGUUUCUGAAAAUAUUGAUAGUUAUGGAUGACCCUCAGCUAAUUGGAUUUUCAAAUCAUUUGUAACAGAUGUGGAACAUUAGCUUGCCAUUCUCUCAGUGACAAAAUUUAGACAAGUUAAAUCAAUUUUCACAUGCAAAGCCUUUGGACAAGUCUCUUUAUUUUCAUUUUGGAAACUGGUUUAUCACAUGUGAUGCCUCAGACGACUAUCAGACCUGGCGUCUUUGAAGUCACAUGAUAUACCUGAUCCGCCUAUAUAUAUCAUUGAGUGAUCAAGACACGAGCAAUCAAUUAUUCAAUUAACUCAACACAACACGUCUACCGUGAGAUUCCUCACUUUUUUUCUCUUUUUCUCAGUAGGAUUACAAAUAAGACAUUUGCAUACCAAUUUGACUGAAUAAAUAAAAAAAAAAACAGAAACUCGCGCGAUUUACAAUUUAACACCUUUUUUUGUGAAACGACGAUCGGAUAACAAAUUGGUUUCCUCCUUCAGAAUGUAUUUUCUGCUACUGCUAACCGUACUUAUGUUUAUUGUCAAUUAUUUUAUUUAUAUUCUAUUUUUAUUUCUACAAUACUUUUUUUAACUGUGAAAUGGGAAAGAUUCAUCAACUUGUAAGUUGUAAAAUGUAUCUUUGUUCACAGAAAUGCAUUUGGGACGAUACUUUCGUCGCUCAGGCUCCAUACAUGAACUAUACAGCAGUGUAAAAAUGCUUUAGUAAAAACAAACCACAAGUACAUCUAUUUCUUGUCCCACAAGUGAUCAUAAUGUUGAGAAUUGUGGCAAUACUAAUUAAUUAGGUUAAUUUACAUAUUUAGUAAACAAACUGUCAAUCAAAUGCAUGUGUCAUAGGUUAAGUAAGGUGUAUCAAAUUUAUGGCUAGUGUGAAGUGAUAGUGAUUGAGACUGUGAAUUUCGGGUUAGUGAUUUAUAAAGUGAUUCUAUAGAAAAAACAAACUAUAAACUCCAACGGCAUUCCCAAUGAUAAAAUAAUAAAUACUGUUUACUUCAACCAACUUUCUUUUCACUAACUUGUGUGUCCUUUCUACUGUACAAUAAAAGUGAAAGUAAUAAAAUCACGUGACACACAUGAAGUGAUAUCGAGCUGAGAUGAGUGGAAGGAUACGUAUUCCAGCAUAAUUCGAUUACACCAAGUAUCAAGAUCCUGAAAAAAAAACAAGAAGAAAGGUCAAGAAAUCGCAGCAGGAGCCCAUCCCCGGAUGUUAUUGAAGUUAUGUAUUACAUAUGAG